This 437-nucleotide ribosomal RNA is filed under the name uncultured bacterium. RNAcentral's name for it is "partial 16S ribosomal RNA". It matches the Rfam family "Bacterial small subunit ribosomal RNA", at positions 29 to 507 of the family's 1533-position model. The record is from RNAcentral.
AGCGAACGCUGGCGGCAGGCUUAACACAUGCAAGUCGAGCGGGCAUCCUUGUGGUGUCCGCGGCAGACGGGUGAGUAACGCGUGGGAACGUGCCCUUCGGUUCGGAAUAACUCAGGGAAACUUGAGCUAAUACCGGAUACGUGCGAGAGCGGAAAGGUUUAUCUGCCGAAGGAUCGGCCCGCGUCUGAUUAGCUAGUUGGUGAGGUUAUGGCUCACCAAGGCGACGAUCAGUAGCUGGUCUGAGAGGAUGAUCAGCCACACUGGGACUGAGACACGGCCCAGACUCCUACGGGAGGCAGCAGUGGGGAAUAUUGGACAAUGGGGGCAACCCUGAUCCAGCCAUGCCGCGUGAGUGAUGACGGCCUUAGGGUUGUAAAGCUCUUUUCUUCGGGACGAUAAUGACGGUACCGGAGGAAUAAGCCCCGGCUAACUUCGUG